AUGCUCACUUCAGCAACCCAUAUACUAAAAUUGGAAGGAUACAAAGAAGAUUAGCAUGGCCCUUGCACAAGAUAAUUAAAAAAAAAUACAACUUUAU
This 97-nucleotide small nuclear RNA is filed under the name Salvator merianae (Argentine black and white tegu). Lineage: Eukaryota; Metazoa; Chordata; Lepidosauria; Squamata; Teiidae. The record is from RNAcentral.